This is a non-coding RNA of Physcomitrium patens, 1154 nucleotides long. NCBI's taxonomy places the organism in Eukaryota, Viridiplantae, Streptophyta, Bryopsida, Funariales, Funariaceae. The record is from RefSeq and is a predicted model, not a curated record.
CUCUUUCUUUUGUUUUGUGUUUUUUAAUCAGAAGAGCUCCGAAAUUUCCAGUCUGUUGCGGCUGGAGGAAUUCCCCCUCCCUUCGUUUGUGGUUUGCGGCGGCUCGGUGAGCUGAAGCAAAGUUGUAUUGCUCUCCCUUCCGUUUGUUUUCUGGCUCGGAUCUUCACUGGGUUCUGCGGCGGUGGGAGAGCGCCCCAGUAGUCCUAUUAUUGGUGACUCGUGCUGAGGUGGCGUCGACGGCAUAGGCGGAAGAGUGGUGCUACCGGUUUGGAACUGAUACUACUAUUGCUGAAUCUGUUCAGUAGUGUGGUUGUCGACAACGCAUGUUGCUUCUCUCAUCCUACGACCCUCGUUUGUGGGAUCGGCGGAAAGUAGGUUGCAGUAGAGUUGGUAUCGAUUUGGCUACCGGUGGGUCGGCUAGGCUAUUCCGUGGAGGUGCUUAGUCAACUACUUGUUGUCAACCGAAAGCGGCGGCAAAUCUUCAAUUGAGAUUACGGUGGAAGCGGCUGGUCUUGGCAACGAAUUGCACUAUGUGUGAAGGCGGAGAGACUACUUGAUACUUGGGAGCUGUCAUAGGCUUCCUCGAUUUGGUGUGCAGUCAGAUGCUACGGGAGGGUUUGGUGACUGAUCCACUACGAUAAACAGGUCCUCAUCGUGCUGUUAAAUCUGGCUCGCGAGUUACAAGGAGGGAUUCCGGAUUGAAGCUCCACCGACUCCUGAUCAACGAGACUCGUUCCGGUUCUGUCUCUUUGACGGGGUAGGGCAAUCAAUUCUCAACUCUCUCUUCUUGCAACACUCGCCGACAGCAAUCUUAGGUUGCUGUCGUUGCUGCCAACAGCAACGCCACAGCUCCUCGUCACGCCCUUGUUCUCCUCAAAUUCUCUGUUCGUCCAAGAAGAGCUUUGGCGCGUGUCGUCAUCGUGCUUUAGCUGCUGAUCCAUCAGCAUUCCGGUGGCUGUUAGUCAUAGUGUGCUGGUUUUAACUAGGUUUUUGACGUCUAGAGUGACUUUUAUUGGGGUGUCGAUUCGAUUGGUUCAAGGCAAGUUAAUCUGGUGGCUUUAGGACGUUGUUGAUAGCGAAUUCUUGAAUCACGUGUUAUUGAUCGUAGUGGAUUGGGAGCCUCUUUUUAAUUAUAUUCAGCCCCCUUCCAUGUU